GACGAACGCUGGCGACGUGCUUAACACAUGCAAGUCGAACGGUGAACGAGGGAGCUUGCUCCCUCCGGAUCAGUGGCGAACGGGUGAGUAACACGUGAGCAAUCUGCCCCGAACUCUGGGAUAAGCGUUGGAAACGACGUCUAAUACCGGAUACGACGCGGGAGGGCAUCCUCUCCGCGUGGAAAGAACUUCGGUUCGGGAUGAGCUCGCGGCCUAUCAGCUUGUUGGUGAGGUAACGGCUCACCAAGGCGACGACGGGUAGCCGGCCUGAGAGGGUGACCGGCCACACUGGGACUGAGACACGGCCCAGACUCCUACGGGAGGCAGCAGUGGGGAAUAUUGCACAAUGGGCGCAAGCCUGAUGCAGCAACGCCGCGUGAGGGACGACGGCCUUCGGGUUGUAAACCUCUUUUAGCAGGGAAGAAGCGAAAGUGACGGUACCUGCAGAAAAAGCACCGGCUAACUACGUG
Molecule: ribosomal RNA, 470 nt
Filed under: uncultured bacterium
Lineage: Bacteria
Description: partial 16S ribosomal RNA
Rfam family: Bacterial small subunit ribosomal RNA
Source: RNAcentral